Dermacentor silvarum is the source of this 333-nucleotide long non-coding RNA. RefSeq lists it as uncharacterized. The record is from RefSeq and is a predicted model, not a curated record. NCBI's taxonomy places the organism in Eukaryota, Metazoa, Arthropoda, Arachnida, Ixodida, Ixodidae. The transcript is spliced from 3 exons.
CAGAUCGAGACGAAGCCAACGUCUGGUUUCGGUUACGGAGCAACGAAGUAACAGGCCAUACACAGAAACCACGAUGCAUUUUCUGAUCAUCCUUACUGCAUCAACUCCUCUAAUGGCGCUGCUGCUCACUGAAGCUGUAACCAGCCGUGAAGCCAACUACAGUAAUCCAGCCUGCAAGAUGCCAAGCCGGCCAUUUUUCGAAGAUAUCGAAAGCGACAAUCUCACCAUACUAUAUAUAUAUAACGAAACCAGUGGAUUGUGCCAAGAUGUCCUCAUUGAUAAGCACCAUAACAAUACGUUCCAGUACUUCUUUGAUUGUGUGUCUCUGUGUGA